RNAcentral lists this ribosomal RNA (106 nucleotides) under uncultured Actinomycetes bacterium. Its description in RNAcentral is "uncultured actinobacterium partial 16S ribosomal RNA". Lineage: Bacteria; Bacillati; Actinomycetota; Actinomycetes. The record is from RNAcentral.
CGUGAGGGAUGAAGGCCUUCGGGUUGUAAACCCCUUUCACGAGGGAAGAAGAUGACCGGUACCUCGAGAAGAGCCCCGGCCAACUACGUUGCCACCACCCCCGUUA